Long non-coding RNA from Chroicocephalus ridibundus (black-headed gull), 1967 nucleotides. RefSeq lists it as uncharacterized. The transcript is spliced from 2 exons. The record is from RefSeq and is a predicted model, not a curated record. Lineage: Eukaryota; Metazoa; Chordata; Aves; Charadriiformes; Laridae.
UCUAGUGUAACUGUGUAAAAGAAUAGAGGCUGUACUUGGGAUCCCUCAAGUGUGCGGGCUUCAGUUACAGGAAAAGCCAAGCCUGAGUGCUGUUUCCGAUUGAGUGGAAAGCACGCUUUUUUGUGAAUUAUUCCUGUUUUAAGUGAUGUGUGACAUCAGCCCUGAUAGCAAAUGGCUUACUCGAAAGAUAUUGAGGAAAUUCAGUAAUGUACACAUUAUAAUGGGGUGGAUCAAAAGUUUUAAAUUUUACAUAGUUAAACUUCCUAAGUAGACCUACGUAACUUCGGAGCAAGUCUAAGCUGUUGCAGAUUUGAAAGCCUUUUUGAAAUUCAGGACUACAAAUGAUACUCUUUCCCAUUGUAGGAUGGGGAUUAUGUAUCUUAUUUUCUUCUAGCUUUUAAACAAAAGCUGCAGCUUCAUACUUAUCCCCUAGGAGUGUUGUGCAGCUGAAUGCGUGUUUCUAACAUUUCUCAAGGUGCUCGCAUGAACGGCAUGAUGGGCAAGACUAGCAAAGGUGCAGAUUACUGUGGUCAGAAAAUAAACCAGUAUUUUGCUUAAAACUCAUCCUGUUUUGCUUAACAUAAGAGCAAUUUGUUCUUACUGCAGGUAGAAUGUCCACUCGAUGGUCUUAAAGUGAAGGCAGUAAUUUAACAAGUCAGUGUCCUGAAGCCCAGCAGCACAAAGUCAUGGGAAAAUGUUAAUGUAUUCUUUGAUAGUAAUCGUCUGUACCUGCAGCCCCUCCCAUGUGAAGAUUCAGAAGGGCUUUAUUAAGGCAAAGCAUCACGCAUAAUACUUAAAUGUGACUGCUGAUGAGUACAGCAUUCAGAUUUUUGUGACAAAUACUAGUCUGCGGGAUCUGACAUCCGUAUCAGUAUUUCUAACUAACCUGUCAGCUUUGGCAGGUUUCUGCGAAGAUACUCAUCUUACAAAAGUUCAGAUUGUUGCAGAAAAUUCACUCCUGCAGAAAAAUUUGCAGGUUCCUGUGGCUCUUCUGGAUACAGAGGAAGAUGCAAUCCAGCAAUGGGAGAGGGAUGGGGGCCUGUGGAAAAAACAGAUGCAGUAAAGUUGGCUAUGGUCAGGGCCAUGUAAAAAUAACUACCUUUAACAUAAACUUACAUAAAUAUCCUGCUGUCUGCAUGGCUAAUACUCUCAGAGCUGAUUUUCCAUUGCGAAUUGUGUCUAAGGUCCUAAACAUUUUGGGUCCCCAUCUGUUUUCACUCUGUAUGAUAGACAUGAAACCUUAAGAGACAUGGGAUAAACCCCACCUCCAAAUCACAAGAAGUAAAUUUUUACACAAAGCCUGAAGGAGACUUUUAUAUUAGUUGUCUGGUUUCUUGUCAAUAAAGAGAAUUCCGGUGCUGUUAGGGGAUUUAGGGGCUAUGACAUACUUAACAGUAGAAGAGUCACCCCGCAGUUAGCAGAAAGUUUAGAAGAGGCUGUCGAUGAGAGUUUUAAUCUGUGAUGACCUAUAGGCUGCACUGGUGCACUGCACGAGGCUCCAAUGACAAAUGGAAGCGCUCAGUAACACGCAGUCAGCAUUGUAUCUAUUGCUGAAAUAAUUGCUUAAUGCUAUUUUGCUUAUCUGAACUCAGGGCGUCUUAGUAAACAAAUGUCUCAUUCCAAUAUGUACAGAAUCGUGUGAUACAUUCGGUGUACUCCUACCUCUAUCCAGAAGGAAGCUGAGAGAUACCUCUGGAAACUGCAUUUUGGGGGCAUACCUUUAAAAUUAACAGCCAUAGUAACUCACUGAUUUGUUUGACUAUGUCCUCCAGCAAAUCACGUCUUCACCUCAGAGCAAUUAAAACAGUGGAACAGAACUUCACUUGAAUGCGUUUACUGCUUUUCUCCUGCUUUUGCCAUAUGCUGAUUUCUCCCAGAGGGAGAAAAUCUGAGUACCGUGUAAGAUUUUCCAAAUAGAAUAAUAAACGAGUGGGUGUUUGAGCUCUGAAAGGAUAUGAAUCUCUGAA